UCCCUUGUGGCUCAGCUGGUAAAGAAUCUGCCUGCAAUGCAGGAGGCCUGGGUUCAAUCCCUGGGUUGGGAA
RNAcentral lists this transfer RNA (72 nucleotides) under Muntiacus reevesi (Reeves' muntjac). It matches the Rfam family "tRNA". From Rfam's summary of the family: Transfer RNA (tRNA) molecules are approximately 80 nucleotides in length. Their secondary structure includes four short double-helical elements and three loops (D, anti-codon, and T loops). Further hydrogen bonds mediate the characteristic L-shaped molecular structure. tRNAs have two regions of fundamental functional importance: the anti-codon, which is responsible for specific mRNA codon recognition, and the 3' end, to which the tRNAs corresponding amino acid is attached (by aminoacyl-tRNA synthetases). tRNAs cope with the degeneracy of the genetic code in two manners: having more than one tRNA (with a specific anti-codon) for a particular amino acid; and 'wobble' base-pairing, i.e. permitting non-standard base-pairing at the 3rd anti-codon position. Lineage: Eukaryota; Metazoa; Chordata; Mammalia; Artiodactyla; Cervidae. The record is from Rfam by way of RNAcentral. RNAcentral also lists the same sequence under 4 other names.